AUUGAACGCUGGCGGCAGGCUUAACACAUGCAAGUCGAACGGUAACGACGGGAGCUUGCUCCCGGGCGACGAGUGGCGGACGGGUGAGGUAACGCGUAGGAAUCUACCCAACUGUGGGGGACAACCCGGGAGAAAUCCCGGGCUAAUACCGCAUAAGCCCUACGGGGGAAAGCGGGGGAUCGUUCGGACCUCGCGCGGUUGGAUGAGCCUGCGUCGGAUUAGCUUGUUGGUAGGGUAACGGCCUACCAAGGCGACGAUCCGUAGCUGGUCUGAGAGGAUGAUCAGCCACACUGGGACUGAGACACGGCCCAGACUCCUACGGGAGGCAGCAGUGGGGAAUAUUGGACAAUGGGCGAAAGCCUGAUCCAGCAAUGCCGCGUGUGUGAAGAAGGCCCGAGGGUUGUAAAGCACUUUCAAUAGAGACGAAAAGCUCAGGGUUAAUAUCCCUGAGUCUUGACUUAACCUAUAGAAGAAGCACCGGCUAACUCCGUG
RNAcentral lists this ribosomal RNA (492 nucleotides) under uncultured bacterium. RNAcentral's name for it is "bacterial SSU rRNA". It matches the Rfam family "Bacterial small subunit ribosomal RNA", at positions 29 to 507 of the family's 1533-position model. The record is from RNAcentral.